UGGGGAAUGGUGUAAUUGGCAACACAACUGGUUCUGGUCCAGUUAUUCAGGGUUCGAGUCCUUGUUCCCCAACCA
RNAcentral lists this transfer RNA (75 nucleotides) under Acidimicrobiales bacterium. Its description in RNAcentral is "tRNA-Gln". It matches the Rfam family "tRNA". From Rfam's summary of the family: Transfer RNA (tRNA) molecules are approximately 80 nucleotides in length. Their secondary structure includes four short double-helical elements and three loops (D, anti-codon, and T loops). Lineage: Bacteria; Bacillati; Actinomycetota; Acidimicrobiia; Acidimicrobiales. The record is from RNAcentral. RNAcentral also lists the same sequence under 1 other name.